Vigna angularis (adzuki bean) is the source of this 1135-nucleotide long non-coding RNA. RefSeq lists it as uncharacterized. The transcript has 4 exons. The record is from RefSeq and is a predicted model, not a curated record. Lineage: Eukaryota; Viridiplantae; Streptophyta; Magnoliopsida; Fabales; Fabaceae.
GUUUGAUUAUAUACUUCAGUUCUUCUGUUUUAGUUUUGUUGACUCGAUAUAUGUAAAUAUGCAAUUAUAAUCUCUUUAGAUGUGUCGGUGGAUUUCAUCUUGUGGAAAAGUUAAAAUCAGUGCAUUAUUGGUGCUUAUGCAACGUAAUUAGUACAGUGAAAAUCAAUUAAACCUUGAUUUUAUGAUACUUUACAGGAAAAGGUAAACAGAAAUGACUUUCUCUUUCUCAUAAAGGGGUGCCUUUUGUUUGGAGCACCUUUCUUUCCAGGAUAUUUUUCAAGCCUAAAAAAUAUCAGGGUCAGUACGUGACAAAAAGAGCUUGCCUCAAAAGUUGUGGAUGUUAUCUCAGACUUCUCAUUUCUCAAAGAGGGGUCCCAUUUUUGCCACACCAUAACCUCUCUGGCAUAUCUAAGAGCUUCAUCAACAGUAGAAGGUUCCAAUCCAGAAACCAGUGAAACAAACAGCUUUCGACCAGUUAGAGAAUUGAACCAGCUCUUGAACUUCAUACCAAUGUAUUGAAAAGCACGUUGAGCCAGUGGAGGAUGGUUGCUACGUUUGCUAAUACUGGCGGUUUUAUGAUUGUGGCUAAUAACUGGAUCGAAGUCCAAAAACCAUUCACAUUGUGUUAGAGGAACCUGUUCAAUCUUUUCCUCAAACAGAUCAAACUUGGUCAAUAUGAGAAGAAAUUUCGUGUUGCUGAAGACUCUAUGAGUGAUGAUAUUUUGAAAGAGAUGUCUGGCAGCUAAAAUUUUGUUGGUAACAGCUCCUUUACUGUCUACCGUGUACUCAUCAUAGUCAGUCAAGGCCACUGAGAACAAGACUACAUCAGUGUCUUCAAACAUGUCUAACCACUUGCACUUUUCUCCAAGGCUUUUUGGAUGUACUCUGAUGAGCUGAUACCUACAAGCACAAACAAAGAUUCAACGCAGUGCCUUCCUCCACCAGUGGGGCAUAUUCACGAGCAGCUGCUGGAAAUAUUUCAUCCAAGUUGCCAGACAUCAUGUAUUGGAGUAGCCAAUCGGAGAAAGUUCUUAGUCUUGGACUAAUGGAAUAGGUUGUCGUGUCAAUAAUUUCUCCAGUAGUCCCUGUUGUAAACUAAACAUCAAUAACUUUUCUCCUUAACAUUCUGUUUAGC